GAGGAAUACUGGUCAAUGGACGGAAGUCUGAACCAGCCAAGUAGCGUGCAGGAUGACGGCCCUAUGGGUUGUAAACUGCUUUUGUAUGGGGAUAAAGUUAGGGACGUGUCCCUAUUUGCAGGUACCAUACGAAUAAGGACCGGCUAAUUCCGUGCCAGCAGCCGCGGUAAUACGGAAGGUCCAGGCGUUAUCCGGAUUUAUUGGGUUUAAAGGGAGCGUAGGCUGGAGAUUAAGUGUGUUGUGAAAUGUAGACGCUCAACGUCUGAAUUGCAGCGCAUACUGGUUUCCUUGAGUACGCACAACGUUGGCGGAAUUCGUCGUGUAGCGGUGAAAUGCUUAGAUAUGACGAAGAACUCCGAUUGCGAAGGCAGCUGACGGGAGCGCAACUGACGCUUAAGCUCGAAGGUGCGGGUAUCAAACAGGAUUAGAUACCCUGGUAGUCCGCACGGUAAACGAUGAAUACUCGCAGUUCGGUUAUUAUGGUCGAGCUGUCCAGCGAAAGCGUUAAGUAUUCCACCUGGGGAGUACGCCGGCAACGGUG
Molecule: ribosomal RNA, 541 nt
Filed under: uncultured bacterium
Lineage: Bacteria
Description: bacterial SSU rRNA
Rfam family: Bacterial small subunit ribosomal RNA
Source: RNAcentral